This 513-nucleotide ribosomal RNA is filed under the name uncultured bacterium. Its description in RNAcentral is "partial 16S ribosomal RNA". It matches the Rfam family "Bacterial small subunit ribosomal RNA", at positions 28 to 523 of the family's 1533-position model. The record is from RNAcentral.
GAUGAACGCUGGCGGCGUGCCUAAUACAUGCAAGUCGAACGCGCAGCGAAAGGUGCUUGCACCUUUCAAGCGAGUGGCGAACAGGUGAGAGACACGCGGAUGACCUGUCUCAAUGCUUGGGAUAACAUUUGUGAACAGGUUCGAAUACCGAGUAAAAGUUAGUAUAGCACGUUAUCAAUUUAAAAGGCGCUACGGCGUGGCGUAGAGAUGGAUCCGCGGUGCAUUAGUUAGUUGGUGGGGUAAAGGCCCACCAAGACGAUGAUGCAUAGCCGGGUUGAGAGAGUGAUCGGCCACAUUGGGACUGAGACACGGCCCAAACUCCUACGGGAGGCUGCAGUAGGGAAUCUUCCACAAUGGGCGCAAGCCUGAUGGAGCAACGCCGCGUGUGUGAAGAAGGCUUUCGGGUCGUAAAGCACUGUUGUAUGGGAAGAAAUGCUAAAAUAGGGAAUGAUAUGAGUUUGACGGUACCAUACCAGAAAGGGACGGCUAAAUACGUGCCAGCAGCCGCAGUAA